UCGGGCCCUAGUGUGGCUCGACCAACCCUAGUGCAUCCAUGGGUAGAUUCAUAACCAAUUGUUUCUCCAAACAACUUCUAGCAUUGGGUUUUGCCUUAGACUUUCCUUCAGCAAGCAUGUGGCACCUCCACUAAAAAUUCUAAUUAGGUCCAACCAUUAACAUGACACAUCAAGUGCAUCCAACAAACGAAUGUCCAGAUCCGAGUGUGGCUCGACCAACCUG
RNAcentral lists this long non-coding RNA (223 nucleotides) under Elaeis guineensis (African oil palm). Its description in RNAcentral is "long non-coding RNA (EGUI_LNC063312)". Lineage: Eukaryota; Viridiplantae; Streptophyta; Magnoliopsida; Arecales; Arecaceae. The record is from RNAcentral.